AAUUUCGUGGUGUAGCGGUGAAAUGCUUAGAUAUCACGAAGAACUCCGAUUGCGAAGGCAGCUUGCCGCAGCGUUACUGACGCUGAAGCUCGAAGGUGCGGGUAUCGAACAGGAUUAGAUACCCUGGUAGUCCGCACAGUAAACGAUGGAUGCCCGCUGUUCGCCUAUUUAGGUGAGUGGCCAAGCGAAAGCGUUAAGCAUCCCACCUGGGGAGUACGCCGGCAACGGUGAAACUCAAAGGAAUUGACGGGGGCCCGCACAAGCGGAGGAACAUGUGGUUUAAUUCGAUGAUACGCGAGGAACCUUACCCGGGCUUGAACUGCAGGAGAACGAUACAGAGAUGUUGAGGUCCUUCGGGACUCCUGCGGAGGUGCUGCAUGGUUGUCGUCAGCUCGUGCCGUGAGGUGUCGGCUUAAGUGCCAUAACGAGCGCAACCCUUGUCCUCAGUUGCCAUCAGUUCGGCUGGGCACUCUGUGGAUACUGCCACCGCAAGGUGUGAGGAAGGUGGGGAUGACGUCAAAUCAGCACGGCCCUUACGUCCGGGGCUACACACGUGUUACAAUGGCGCAUACAGAGAGUCGGCCGCCGGCAACGUCGGUCCAAUCCUUAAAAUGCGUCCUAGUUCGGAUUGGGGUCUGCAACCCGACCCCAUGAAGCUGGAUUCGCUAGUAAUCGCGCAUCAGCCAUGGCGCGGGAAAC
Molecule: ribosomal RNA, 699 nt
Filed under: uncultured bacterium
Lineage: Bacteria
Description: bacterial SSU rRNA
Rfam family: Bacterial small subunit ribosomal RNA
Source: RNAcentral